ACGGAGGGGGCUAGCGUUGUUCGGAAUUACUGGGCGUAAAGCGCACGUAGGCGGCUUUGCAAGUUAGAGGUGAAAGCCCAGGGCUUAACCCUGGAAUUGCCUUUAAAACUGCAUCGCUGGAGUGCGGCAGAGGGGGAUGGAAUUCCGCGUGUAGCAGUGAAAUGCGUAGAUAUGCGGAGGAACACCGAUGGCGAAGGCAAUCCCCUGGGCCUGCACUGACGCUCAUGCACGAAAGCGUGGGGAGCAAACAGGA
Molecule: ribosomal RNA, 253 nt
Filed under: uncultured prokaryote
Description: partial 16S ribosomal RNA
Rfam family: Bacterial small subunit ribosomal RNA
Source: RNAcentral